Long non-coding RNA from Lytechinus pictus (painted urchin), 1538 nucleotides. RefSeq lists it as uncharacterized. The record is from RefSeq and is a predicted model, not a curated record. The transcript is spliced from 2 exons. Lineage: Eukaryota; Metazoa; Echinodermata; Echinoidea; Temnopleuroida; Toxopneustidae.
GACAUCGUCAAACGAAUAUACGUUGUUUGACAAUAUCCACAUUCAGCGAAGAAGAAGGGAUUAUUAAUGCGUCUUGUAAGUGUUCUUCUAGAAACUGAAGUUGUAACAUUUACACAGUAUUUGCAGUUUACUUCAAGUUUGUUGUAAGGGAAUCUGCCAUUGAAAGGCAGUGACUAAAUUACAGAUAUCUAAGAACGAGGCCGCAAGAAUCAUGGUGCUUCAAGUCCAGAGCGAUCCAGAAGGCCGCUUGACUAAAGGGAAUGGGAACACUCGACGAGACCAUGGACUUCUGAGGGACGGUGGAAGCAACGACGAAGGCUGCAAAGAGCACAGCUUGCCGGAGUAUUUCCUUUAUGGCAAUGGCACAAACAUAGGCGGAUCAGGUCCGCUUCGAUCAAAUACCACAGAUAGGAUCAAUGAUGUUAACCAAGGAAUGGUAUCCACAGGCCCUGGAAGAACAGUAUCUACCCUACCUGAGAGGGCGCUUCUACUGGAGGAUACUGGUAGGGAAUUGAGGAAAGUGGCAGACCUGUUCAUCAUCACCAGGAACACUGGACAUGAACUGAGAAGGAUAGCUGACGAGGUUUAUUUCAAAUUUGUCGGGUCGGAAACUCACCCACCUGAUGUCAUUCUGUUUGAGGAUAUGGCUGAGAGAACACUGCAGAGAAGAAAAUCAUGACUAGGCCAAAUAACCCAUUAACUCAAACUCAAACUAUUCAGGAAAAUGCUGCAGUAAAUUUAUAAAGAAUUAUACUUUUUUAUUGUGAACAUUACAUGUUCAAUGCCUUGACAGUAAGUGCACUCAUCAUGACAGUUUUUGAGCAGGCCUCCAUGUAAACCUGUCCACAGUGCCUUUAAUAAGUGUACUUAUAAUAAAAGUUUUUAAGCAGAUAGAAUAGACAAUACUGUAUUCGUUUUGUAUUAUAUUUUUGUAUAUUCACCUUAUAAAUAUUCAUUCAUUAUUUACAACCGAUUCACAACAUGAUCUCAAACAGCUCAAACACUCGCCUUGAUUUUGAGUCUGUGAAUGGCAUGAACUGAACGCGUGAUGGCGCUAGUACUGUUAUUACCAUGUGGAGAAUGAAGCUGUUCUAACUCUGACAUGAAUCGUACAGAGAUAAGUAGGAGCGCCGAUUGUACCAAUAUUACAUAGAACAAAUAUUUGUUAUAUAAUCAUUAUUCAUUAAAUAAUAACUAGAUAAGGGCCCGAAUUCACAAACGUGGAUAAGUAGUGUUUAAGAGUUUAAAGUACACAUUAUGAUUGUGAUGCACACAUCAGUCUCUUUUUUUUAUAUUGUUUUUGGAGUGUAAAAGUCAUGCCGGUUCCUGAUUAUUUUAAAUAGACUAUAUAUUUUGACAUCACAUGUAUAUAAACAAAAUACAUUUUCUUUAUUUCAUUACUGAAAAUAAUCCUUGCCUUCAUUCACUUGUUUCAUGCAUUAUUAGUGUAAUUUUGAGUAAAGAUUUGUUUUUAACUGUAUUGUAAAUUUUGAUAGAACCUGCAUGAAUGAAACAAUAAAUGCAGCGCAAUAUUUUCA